GUAGGGAAUCUUCGGCAAUGGGCGAAAGCCUGACCGAGCAACGCCGCGUGAAUGAUGAAGGCCUUCGGGUUGUAAAAUUCUGUUAUAAGGGAAGAACGACUUUAGUAGGAAAUGGCUAGAGUGUGACGGUACCUUAUGAGAAAGCCACGGCUAACUACGUGCCAGCAGCCGCGGUAAUACGUAGGUGGCGAGCGUUAUCCGGAAUUAUUGGGCGUAAAGAGCGCGCAGGUGGUUGAUUAAGUCUGAUGUGAAAGCCCACGGCUUAACCGUGGAGGGUCAUUGGAAACUGGUCGACUUGAGUGCAGAAGAGGGAAGUGGAAUUCCAUGUGUAGCGGUGAAAUGCGUAGAGAUAUGGAGGAACACCAGUGGCGAAGGCGGCUUCCUGGUCUGUAACUGACACUGAGGCGCGAAAGCGUGGGGAGCAAACAGGA
This 431-nucleotide ribosomal RNA is filed under the name uncultured bacterium. RNAcentral's name for it is "bacterial SSU rRNA". It matches the Rfam family "Bacterial small subunit ribosomal RNA", at positions 354 to 777 of the family's 1533-position model. The record is from RNAcentral.